This 80-nucleotide non-coding RNA is filed under the name bovine gut metagenome. Its description in RNAcentral is "TPP riboswitch (THI element)". It matches the Rfam family "TPP riboswitch aptamer (THI element)", at positions 9 to 90 of the family's 105-position model. Rfam says of the family: Vitamin B(1) in its active form thiamin pyrophosphate (TPP) is an essential coenzyme that is synthesised by coupling of pyrimidine and thiazole moieties in bacteria. The previously detected thiamin-regulatory element, thi box was extended, resulting in a new, highly conserved RNA secondary structure, the THI element, which is widely distributed in eubacteria and also occurs in some archaea. Analysis of operon structures identified a large number of new candidate thiamin-regulated genes, mostly transporters, in various prokaryotic organisms. The record is from RNAcentral.
ACACAGGGGUGCUACAAAGCGCUGUGGCUGAGAUUACACCCUAAUAACUUGAUCGGGAUAAUGCCCGCGAAAGGAGUAAU